This 501-nucleotide ribosomal RNA is filed under the name uncultured bacterium. RNAcentral's name for it is "partial 16S ribosomal RNA". It matches the Rfam family "Bacterial small subunit ribosomal RNA", at positions 899 to 1397 of the family's 1533-position model. The record is from RNAcentral.
ACUCAAAUGAAUUGACGGGGGCCCGCACAAGCGGUGGAGCAUGUGGUUUAAUUCGAUGCAACGCGAAGAACCUUACCUGGGCUCGAAGUGCUCUGUAAACCCAUGAAAGUGGGCUAGUCCCGCAAGGGACGCGGAGCAUAGGUGCUGCAUGGCUGUCGUCAGCUCGUGUCGUGAGAUGUUAGGUUAAGUCCUGCAACGAGCGCAACCCUUGUCCUUAGUUGCCAUCAGGUUAUGCUGGGAACUCUAAGGAGACUGCCGACGUCAAGUCGGAGGAAGGUGGGGAUGACGUCAAGUCCUCAUGGCCCUUACGUCCAGGGCUACACACGUGCUACAAUGGCCGGUACAGAGCGUCGCAAGACCGCAAGGUGGAGCAAAUCGCAAAAAACCGGUCUCAGUUCAGAUUGUACUCUGCAACUCGAGUACAUGAAGUUGGAAUCGCUAGUAAACGCGGAUCAGCAGGUCGCGUUGAAUACGUUCCCGGGCCUUGUACACACCGCCCGU